This is a long non-coding RNA of Helianthus annuus (common sunflower), 3579 nucleotides long. RefSeq lists it as uncharacterized. The transcript has 3 exons. Lineage: Eukaryota; Viridiplantae; Streptophyta; Magnoliopsida; Asterales; Asteraceae. The record is from RefSeq and is a predicted model, not a curated record.
UUUAAGAUGGUGUUUGAAUUAAAAAGAAUAAUUUUAAUCGGUUCUUUUCAUUAUUCUCAUCGCAAUACACAUAUAUUCAUGUAUGGUUGUUAAGGUUAACCUGAUUUAUAGAGGGUUGAGUUAACGGUGUGGGUGUAGAUUUGUGGCGUUUAGGGCACUUUAUGUUGCACACACCACAUUGCACACGACGUUGUUAUCGACAUUGUUAAGUAGGCGGAAGGAUUUUCACUUGCAUGGAAGGGCAAGUGGGUGCAACGCGGCGUGCUUUUAUUGGAUGUGGUAAUUAACCAUUGCCCCCACAACUAGUAAAAAAAUUAAAAAUUUACUCCUCUUAUAUAUAUUACGCCACUUCUAUUAUUUUAAAACCAUAAUCUCUCAACCCACAUAUCAAUUCUUCCAUUACAUGUCAAAACACCCUCUCAAAAACACUUCGAAAUGCCGGUUAUUCCAUGGAGCGUAUAAGAGGACAUUGCGUUUUGCGAAUCGUGGGUCGUGGCGGUGACCAACCACGAGGCUCGUCAACGGUGAGUACAACAACGAUGGUGACUUCAAACACUAGGCGGCGUGGCAAAAUUGAGGCGAGAUUUGAGGCACUUGUCAACGGUGUGGACAAUGAUGAUGGUGAGCUAAACAAAGACGACAUCAACCAAGUCGCUUGCAUAGCAGGUACGCUGGUGACUUCAAACACUACGCGGCAUCGCAAAUAAUACGUUUUUUUGGUUAAUAUUUAUGUUAACGUUUUAUUUUAAAUUAUGUAAUGUUUUUUUUUUUUUUUUUAAGUUAUGUCUCGUUAUUUUUUUAAUUAGUAUUAAUUCGUUUUAUUUAAAUUUAAAACACCACGUCUUCACGCCCCAGGUCACAUCGUCUGUUUUACCACCACACCACACUAUGACGUGUGAUCUACAUGUCGUAUAAUGUCUCAUCUUGAAGCCCCUACAUACCGUUUGGUGUUAAAACUUGUUUAAUUUUUUUUUUCGUAUUCGGAUUGUGUCGGGGAUUGCUAUGUGUCAGCUAUUGCGUCUACGUUCAAUUUCAGUGUAUUAAAUGCAGUAAUAUGCUGACAUAAACUUUGUUUUGCAAGUUUUGUCACUAUUAGCAUGUUUUUUAGCGGCUGUGUAGGUAUCUUGUGAGAAUUUUAUUGUGAUUUAAACUGUGAUAGAAAUAAUUAUUUUUUAGUGUACAGUUAAACUAAUUUAAUUGUUUUUACUCUUAGAUUAAAAUAAUCAACUUCCGUUGAAAAUCUGUUCAAAAUUUUAGAACAAAUGUGCAUGCACAAAAUUAUUAACUGAGUAUUAUGUUGUUUGUUUCUUAAUUUUUUUAGGUUAAUUUUGGUCAGAAUAUAUUUCACCAAAAAACUUGCUAAGUUACAUCAAAACAGAAGGUAAACGGGCAACAAGCUGUGCCGCUAUCCAUUUCUGAAUUAAUAUUUUUUAAGUAUAAUAAUAAUAACUAUUUUGAGAGAAAAAAAAACAUCUAAUCAAAUUUAUGGUUGUAGUUAGGUUGUAGUUAGAAAUUUAGGAUACAAUGUGCUUGUUUCAAUGAUAUUAAACUUCAAGUUGUUUUUUUUAACGAAUUGUCAAAAUGUAGAGACUAGGGUAAGAUUAAUAUAUAACCUAGUAUGAUAGACAUGACAUAGAUGUGAUCUAAACCAAAUCUUAAUGAAAUAUAUAACAUAUACAAAGGGAUUAUUAUAUUUAUAUGAUACUUUUAAUACGGGUCGUAUAGCCCUAUAUGACCCGUAUAACACUCAUUACAAUUUCUCAGGUUAGUCAUAGGCUGAUACUCUCGUCACGUGUUAACCCUAUACGCAUUGUAGGGCUAUACGAUGCGUAUUUGGUACGAGGUUAGAUAUUUGUCACUCAAUAGUGACAGAAAGUGAUGGAUGUGAAUAUUACGUUAGCCCUAUACGGAUCGUAUAGGGCAAUACGACCCGUAUUGGUAUAUGAAAAACAAUUUCAAUCUUCUACCUUUAUAAACAACGAAGGAGACGGUGAAAUAUUCAUUGUUUCUUCUUCGCUUCUUUCUUUGUUUUGAAAAACGAUUCCACUAUGUCUUGGCUUGAUCUCAAUUACGAUUUUGGCGAGUCUCCCGGCAACAACACGAGCACGUUUAUUGUGGAAAGCAGUGUGGUAUAGUAUUUGUUAACUUGUUUAUGUGUUUUAUUUAUGAAAUUCUUAACAUGUAGUUGUUUUAGGAGGGGUCUGUUUUCCCUGAUUCUUACGAGGGGAGAGUAAAUGAUGAUCAUGUGGAGGAGGUCGUGUCCGGCUUUUGUUCCCAUGAUAAGGAAUCGUUGUUGUCAGAUUUCAACGCGUUUGUUGUGCCCCGGGAACCGUUGUUUCCAGAUCUGAACGAGUUAUUGUCCCUAGCGGUGACUAUGGUUAUGGGUGUCGGGAUUAUGAAGCCGGUUAUGGUGCCUCGUACGGACAAGAAGACUAUGGCAAUAACUUUUUCGUUAGUGAUGCCUCAUGUGUACAACAAGACGUUGGUGAGCCUUCUUACAUCGAAGAGUCAUUGGGUGACGAGCAAUCUGCUUACCCUGAACUUUUGUUCAAAACUGGUCAAAUAUGAAUGAUAUAUGUUUUGUUACUAUAAAUGUUGUAUUUUUUUUGUUAAAAAAUUAUUAUAAAUGUUAUAUAUAUUUUUCGCUUAGGGUUUUAUAUCCGCAAUGAGUUGGAACGUUGGGUAAAAACAAGGGAUUUAGCCAACGGAUACGUUAUUGUUACUAUACGGUCCAAGGAUCAUUGGAUAUGGCUCCAAUGUUGUCGUAGCGACGGGCAUGAGAAUAAUGCCACGGUUUAAGAAAACUGACGGGCACUUAUGUGGUUUGUGUCGUUUUGUUAUUGAAGUUGAUUUUGUGGUGGAUUGUUUUGAAUGAGUUGCUUGAGGGCAAGCAACGGUUAAGUGUGGGGAUGUGACGGGUGAACCGUAGGAGGAUCUUUAAGUUGAUUAAAUAAGAAAGAAAUUGAUAUAUUUGAUGUUUAAAUUGGUGAAUCCAGAUGACUACGGCGAACUUGAUGAUUACAGGUUAAAGGAGCUAAGGAGGUGUAAAGAAAAAGCAUGGAACAAACGGGAGCUUAAAACGGAAGGAAUAUGCAGCAUAAAUGAAGAAAAUAAUUUAUUAGAAUCGAAGAAUUAAGAAUAUAACAUGAUAGAGGAAGAAAUUACGAGAACGUGGGCGAAAACGACGAAGAAAACAGAGUUGAAACGAGAAAGUUACGAAGAAAACAAAAUUGCUUAGCUGAAGCCUACCGUAGCUUACGGUAGCUACCGUAAGCUACGGUAUACCCUGAAAAAAAUUGAUGCCGUAAGACAGUUUCUUGCCACCGUAGGCUUUUUGAUGACCACCGUAAGCUACGGUAGCCACCGUAGCUUACGGUGGAGCCAGACGCAAAAUGUGUAACUCCUUUUUAUGGUUUGUGGGUUGUGACUCUUGGAGAUCCUUAUCAUUAUCUCUGUUUCAGAACUUGGUAGUGGCAAAUUUAGGGUGACAAGACCAUAUUUUUGGGUGUUUCAAUCAUUACUUUUCCAUCUCUGAUCCAUAUGAACAUCGGAAUUGAAGUGGUGAUCAACCGAACUAUG